RNAcentral lists this ribosomal RNA (1964 nucleotides) under Escherichia coli. RNAcentral describes it as "partial 23S ribosomal RNA". It matches the Rfam family "Bacterial large subunit ribosomal RNA", at positions 983 to 2925 of the family's 2925-position model. Lineage: Bacteria; Pseudomonadati; Pseudomonadota; Gammaproteobacteria; Enterobacterales; Enterobacteriaceae. The record is from RNAcentral.
GACACACGGCGGGUGCUAACGUCCGUCGUGAAGAGGGAAACAACCCAGACCGCCAGCUAAGGUCCCAAAGUCAUGGUUAAGUGGGAAACGAUGUGGGAAGGCCCAGACAGCCAGGAUGUUGGCUUAGAAGCAGCCAUCAUUUAAAGAAAGCGUAAUAGCUCACUGGUCGAGUCGGCCUGCGCGGAAGAUGUAACGGGGCUAAACCAUGCACCGAAGCUGCGGCAGCGACGCUGAUGCGUUGUUGGGUAGGGGAGCGUUCUGUAAGCCUGUGAAGGUGUGCUGUGAGGCAUGCUGGAGGUAUCAGAAGUGCGAAUGCUGACAUAAGUAACGAUAAAGCGGGUGAAAAGCCCGCUCGCCGGAAGACCAAGGGUUCCUGUCCAACGUUAAUCGGGGCAGGGUGAGUCGACCCCUAAGGCGAGGCCGAAAGGCGUAGUCGAUGGGAAACAGGUUAAUAUUCCUGUACUUGGUGUUACUGCGAAGGGGGGACGGAGAAGGCUAUGUUGGCCGGGCGACGGUUGUCCCGGUUUAAGCGUGUAGGCUGGUUUUCCAGGCAAAUCCGGAAAAUCAAGGCUGAGGCGUGAUGACGAGGCACUACGGUGCUGAAGCAACAAAUGCCCUGCUUCCAGGAAAAGCCUCUAAGCAUCAGGUAACAUCAAAUCGUACCCCAAACCGACACAGGUGGUCAGGUAGAGAAUACCAAGGCGCUUGAGAGAACUCGGGUGAAGGAACUAGGCAAAAUGGUGCCGUAACUUCGGGAGAAGGCACGCUGAUAUGUAGGUGAAGUCCCUCGCGGAUGGAGCUGAAAUCAGUCGAAGAUACCAGCUGGCUGCAACUGUUUAUUAAAAACACAGCACUGUGCAAACACGAAAGUGGACGUAUACGGUGUGACGCCUGCCCGGUGCCGGAAGGUUAAUUGAUGGGGUCAGCGCAAGCGAAGCUCUUGAUCGAAGCCCCGGUAAACGGCGGCCGUAACUAUAACGGUCCUAAGGUAGCGAAAUUCCUUGUCGGGUAAGUUCCGACCUGCACGAAUGGCGUAAUGAUGGCCAGGCUGUCUCCACCCGAGACUCAGUGAAAUUGAACUCGCUGUGAAGAUGCAGUGUACCCGCGGCAAGACGGAAAGACCCCGUGAACCUUUACUAUAGCUUGACACUGAACAUUGAGCCUUGAUGUGUAGGAUAGGUGGGAGGCUUUGAAGUGUGGACGCCAGUCUGCAUGGAGCCGACCUUGAAAUACCACCCUUUAAUGUUUGAUGUUCUAACGUUGACCCGUGAUCCGGGUUGCGGACAGUGUCUGGUGGGUAGUUUGACUGGGGCGGUCUCCUCCUAAAGAGUAACGGAGGAGCACGAAGGUUGGCUAAUCCUGGUCGGACAUCAGGAGGUUAGUGCAAUGGCAUAAGCCAGCUUGACUGCGAGCGUGACGGCGCGAGCAGGUGCGAAAGCAGGUCAUAGUGAUCCGGUGGUUCUGAAUGGAAGGGCCAUCGCUCAACGGAUAAAAGGUACUCCGGGGAUAACAGGCUGAUACCGCCCAAGAGUUCAUAUCGACGGCGGUGUUUGGCACCUCGAUGUCGGCUCAUCACAUCCUGGGGCUGAAGUAGGUCCCAAGGGUAUGGCUGUUCGCCAUUUAAAGUGGUACGCGAGCUGGGUUUAGAACGUCGUGAGACAGUUCGGUCCCUAUCUGCCGUGGGCGCUGGAGAACUGAGGGGGGCUGCUCCUAGUACGAGAGGACCGGAGUGGACGCAUCACUGGUGUUCGGGUUGUCAUGCCAAUGGCACUGCCCGGUAGCUAAAUGCGGAAGAGAUAAGUGCUGAAAGCAUCUAAGCACGAAACUUGCCCCGAGAUGAGUUCUCCCUGACCCUUUAAGGGUCCUGAAGGAACGUUGAAGACGACGACGUUGAUAGGCCGGGUGUGUAAGCGCAGCGAUGCGUUGAGCUAACCGGUACUAAUGAACCGUGAGGCUUAACCUUA